UAACAGGCUGAAGUUGAUUUUUAUUCAUACCCUCUUUUGUUCUCCCCCAUGUUGAAAUGUUUGGGGAAAUGUUUUUCUACUUUUCCCCAAGAAAAAAAAAUCAUUCUUAAAAAAGAAAAACAACCACAACUGAACAUUUUACUUUGUUUCCAGGCAGCAUAUUUACCGGGGGAGAAAACACCUCAGAUUUCAAGGAAAAGCAGUGGAUUGAUUGAUGAAUACUGGGGCUAUUUUUAAAUAUCUUUGUUAAUGAUGAAUUGUGCAAAAACAAAAGUUGUUUGAGGUAUCGGUAACAGUCAAAUUAUGUCCUUUUUUUGUACACUAAAACUUCUUAAAUAGCAUGGUAGAGUAGAAAUAGGAAACACCGCCGACCUUGAUCAGCUCAACAUGUGAACUGAUGUCUUCCUGUAUUUCUAUUUCUUUAUCUUUUGCCUUUUUUUUCAACCUGCAAUAGCAAUAAAAGGUAGAAGCAUUUCAAUAAAGAAAUUAGAGCAACGUUUCUUUAAUUUAUUCACACGUUUGUUUUCUUUCCUGUAAAAUCACCCCUUGAUGGGUGAGUGACAUAAUGAAUGUUUCACACCUACAGACAGAAAAAAGAAAACAAAUCAGCUGAAAUACAAUCACUGAUAAAUAAAAACAAUAGCCUACCAUCAGAGAAAUCCACACACAGUGGGGAUAGUCUGGUUCCUUAAAAUCUGAGUUAUCAGUUUGUAGCUUUAAGCGCAACAGUAAGGAUUGGAUUAUAAUGAAAAAGAAACUGCUCUCUGAUGAGGGAUUUGUUACAGAAAAAAGGUUUACAUUAGGACUGACAUUUAAUGUGAUUCACAAAUUCAUAAACUUUUUUUUCCGCAGAGCAAAUACCCACUUAUUUCCGAUCUCUUAGCCUCUGGUCUACCAACCAAGACCAGGUUUUCACAUCAUAACAAUAUCAACAUCAUUUAACUCAAAGUUGAUCUAGUAAUUCUAUUUCUAUUUCACAGUGCAUCUGUAUCCCAAAUGACAAAGACUGAAAUCAACUGCUCUGUAAAACUCCGCAAAUAACAACACUUAGCACGUCACAGAACACAGAGUUGUCUAAGUCAAGGUUUCCCUUCAGCCUCCACCAUUUUCAAAUUGUCAUAAAAACAGGGUGUACAACCUUCAUGAACACUUACAGUAUGAAGUUAACCCUUCAUAACCCACUGAGCCGACACAGCAAUGACACAAAGUUCACAGUUAGUGUCGAUGAAGGCCGCGUCAGACAAGCUAAGCACGAUGCUAACAUCAGCGUGAAAAUAUGGCAAACAAAAAUACGGCUGUUAUGUUGAAGUAAAGCAGCUGUGACAUGACCUGGGUCUUGUGAUGGGGCAUACUUUGCUUGAAUCCCAAAUACAAAACAAAUGUUCAAUGAAAAAUGGAGCUGUAACAAAGUAAAGUGAUGCUAAUGCUAGUGGGUACCAGUAGACAACAAUUAGCCAACUUAGCAUUCAGGGUGUAAACUCCUAGCUAGCCUUAAUUUUCAUUUCAUAUAAGUUUAUUUUUAUUAAUUUUAUCCUUCCCCAUGGUGUUGUAUAACAGCUAGCUAUAUCCUUGCUAACAUAGGCAUUAAAUAGUGUUACACAGCACAAAGGGAAAGGUGUAAACUGAACUAGAUGCUAAUGCUAGUGGGUACCAGUGGAUAGCAGCUAGCCAACUUAGCAUUCAGGAUCUAAACUCCUAGCUAGCCUCAAUUUUUACUUCAUAUUAAUUUAAUUUACCAAUUGUACCCUUUCCUUCCCCAUGGUGUUGCAUAACAGCUAGCUAUGUCCUUGCUAACAUAAGCAUUUAACCGUGUUACACAGUAGGCUACAAAGGGAAAGGUGUAAAUUGAACUAGAAACGUUCACCUUGAAAGCUGCUGUUAGCUGUUGUCUACCUAACAGGUUGUUGUUUUUCACUGAAAUGCUGCCCUGUAUAAUCCAGAAGCUGAAAAAUAGCAUAGAAUUUUUACAUAACCUGUUAACAUGACAUUAAACCUGGAAUACAGCAGAAUAAAAUGACGCUAGUAGCGUAAAAUAUGACUGUAUUUUGACACACAAGAGAAAAUGAUCCCAAAUUACUGUUGCCUGCCUUUUCAGUCUGUUAUUACCCCUCACGUCAAUCAUAACUCUUUUUCUGCUUUUUUAUAUUCAUGAGUAAAGCCAUCAGCUGUCCAAAAUGUUGAAUAAAAACAAUUCGAGACAAGUCUGAAAGGAGGUUUGAACAAUUUUGUAAGUUUUGCAUUUAUAGGGUUUUUUUCAACAACAUCCAGAUUGAAAAGGUCCUUUUAGAGUCUGAAUUUGUGAUAGUGGAAGAACAUAAGGCCUUUACUAGGAACCAAAGCUUCACUCAGGGAACAAUGCUUCCCGUAUAUUAACAUAGUAAAUAUGAUUAGAAUGAAAUCAUAUUAAGUGUAAAAGAGGAUGUUAAUCCAGUCAGUUUUUUUCCAUUUAUGCCCAAGUAAGAUACUCAGUGCAGCUGCAGCUUACACGUCAGAACUGGCAUUAAUCUCCACAUAACAGGCAUUGGAAC
Molecule: long non-coding RNA, 2528 nt
Filed under: Xyrichtys novacula (pearly razorfish)
Lineage: Eukaryota; Metazoa; Chordata; Actinopteri; Labriformes; Labridae
Source: RNAcentral